AAAAAUAUAUAAAUUAUCAAAGAUAAUUUUUCUGUUUAAUUUUCAAUAUCAUUUUAUAAACUAAUUAUAAAAUAUAAUUAAAAAUGGGGGGAAUUUUGACAGUUAGGCAACAAAUUUAUUCAUAUCCAUUGAAUAGAGAGAAAAAAAAUAUAUCAUUUUUACAGGUGAUACAUUUUGAGAUCUUGUGAUUCUUUUGAAACUACGAGCAUACAGUGGAAGAUCACAAGGGGAAUAAUAAUCCCCAAUUAUGAAACCAGGUGUUCCAAGAAAAAAAAAUAUUAAGGUACCAAUUUUUGUAACAAAAUGGUUUUAUACACAUCAUCUUUGGGAUUGUAAAAAAACAGUAUUUAUAUUUUAUAAUUUAGGAAUUUUUGAAUAUUUAACAAUUGCUCUUUCCCCUUUUUAUUACUUGAUCUUCCACUCUCUGUUCAAAGAUAAAUUAUAUAAUAAUAAUAAUAUAAUGAGAAAUGUGGGAUUAUUUGAAAAUAUUUUUUAAUUAAAGUAAAACUGAAAGGCUUUAUCUGAUGAUUUUUUUGUUUAUAAUUUUUUCUUUGUAAUAAAAAGUUCUUACAUAUAAUAAUCAAAUUUUUUAUAUUUUUGAUUUCUUACAAAACAUGGUUUUUUUUUCCCCUAAUUCAGUCCAGUAGACACGGCUGGAAGCGGAGUUCCAACUUCAGAGAGAAGAUAGAGUAAUUAUUCAGAUGUUUUUUUGAUGUUUUGCAGCGUGUAUUUUUGUCUCCAGCUGCAGAUGCUUGUCCUUCUUCCCCUUUAAAAUAUGCUAUAGGCUGCAUGUAAACUUUGUGAAAGAGAACAAUGAUAAUUCAAAAAUUUCACCCAUAAAAUUUUCUUGAUGUAUUUUACUGACCAGCAUGAUAUUUUUUCAAAAAUUGCUUUUGCUGUUCGCAUGAAGAAAUAUUGUAAUAAGCUGCUAGUAUGGAAAUAUUUGGGGCAUGACAUAAUUGUCUGUAUUUUUGAACAAUGUGAAAUAAUCAAUGAAUAUAAAAUUGUAUUUGCACGACACCAUUCCAUACAUAAGCAUGAGCUUGUUUUUCAUUAUGAAUCCAAGUGCUUGAAAUUUUGUUUUUGAUAUUUUUGCAAAGAUUUUUUUUAUUAACAUUAUUUGGAAAAUUUUUUCAGAAUUUUACAAUGUUUUUAUUCACAAAUCAGAGGGUAUUAUUUUUUUUACUUUUUUUAACUGCAGCCUUUGGAGGGGCUUCUCCACAUUAGGAUGGGGAGAGAAGGUCUGUCAUUUGGUUUACAACUUUUUUAUAAUAUAAAAAUAUGCAUAAAUAUAUCUCUCUCAAUAUAUGUAUAUGUAUUGUAUAUAUAUAUACACUUAUAUAUAUACAAACAUUAAAUCUUUGUGUGUAUGUAUGUAAUGUAUAAGUUGUGUUCAAAACUUAAAUUUUUAUGAUUUUAUAUUAAUAGUCUCAUAAAUAUAAUGCAUUCAAUAUUCAAAAGUUCAUAAUUUAUUUAAU
This 1478-nucleotide long non-coding RNA is filed under the name Androctonus crassicauda. Lineage: Eukaryota; Metazoa; Arthropoda; Arachnida; Scorpiones; Buthidae. The record is from RNAcentral.